AUGGUAAAAUCUAUAGCCCAAGCAAUUCAUUCUUAUGCCAUGUAUGUUUUUAAACUUCCCAAAGGAAUUUGCAAGUCUAUUACCGAUGAAAUCUCUGGGUUCUGGUGGGGUGAUAACGAGGAGAAAAAGAAGAUGCACUGGUUUGCAUGGUGGAGGUUGUGCAUUCCAAAGAAGGAAGGGCUUGGGUUUAGAGACUUGCACAAUUUUAAUCUUGCUAUGUUAGCAAAAUAGUGUUGGCGACUAAUCCAGAACCUAGACUCUUUGUGUGCACGAGUGUUGAGGGAAAAAUAUUGUCCAGAUGGUGAUAUUUUGAGAGCUGGUCCAAACAAAGGAUCAUGUUACACAUGGCAAAGCAUUGUUGCAGGUAUCCAAACAGUUAAUAGUGGUUGCAUUUGGAACAGGGUCGAAAAUUGA
RNAcentral lists this ribosomal RNA (414 nucleotides) under Triticum aestivum (bread wheat). Its description in RNAcentral is "partial small subunit ribosomal RNA". Lineage: Eukaryota; Viridiplantae; Streptophyta; Magnoliopsida; Poales; Poaceae. The record is from RNAcentral.